UAGAAAUGUUUUGUCCCAUUACUUGAUCUCUGAAUGUUUGUUCUUUCCGAUUUUUUGGCGUAUAUGAUCUCGAAGUAUAUACAAACAAGUUUGAUGGUUGGAUCGUUGAUACUAGUUUCGUAGAAUGUGUAUCCCAUCAAAACAAUAGAUUCACUAACAAUUAAGAGCUUAUUUAUAAUUUCAUUAAAUAUAACAUAACAUUUUGUGGUAUCUAGUGUAAAUAUUUUCAAUUGAAGAUCAAAUUCAAUCAUUGUAUUCAUAUAGGGUUAGGGAGUGUAGCUAUUAAAAAAUCAUCAAAAUCGGAGUUAAAAUAACCGUUAAAUCGUGAUUUUUCAUUUAUAACAGUCGAAAAGUUUUGUCCCGUUACUAGAUCUCUGCAUGUUUGUUUUUUGCGAUUUUUUGCGUAAGCGAUCUCGAAAUAUAUACAAACAAGUUUGACGGUUGGAUCUUUGAAACUAGUUUUGUAGAAUGCAUAUUCCAUCAAAACAAUAGAUUCACUAACACUUUGAGUUUAUAACUUUCAUCAAGUAUAACAUAAGAUUUUGUGGUAUCUACUAGUGUAAAUAUGUUAAAUUAAAGAUCAAAUUCAUUCAUUAUAUUCAUAUACGGUCAAGGAGUGUAGCUGUAAAAAAUCAUCAAAAUCGGAGUUAAAAUAACCGUUAAAUCGUGAUUUUUCGCUUAUAACAAUCGAAAAGUUUCGGUCCGUUACUUGAUCUCUGAAUGUUUGUUUUUUACGAUUUUUGGUGUAUGCGAUCUCAAUGUAUAUACAAACAAGUUUGACGGCUGGAUCUUUGAAACUAGUUUCAUAGAAUGCGUAUCCUAUCAAAACAAUAGAUUCACUAACACUUAAAGAGUUUAUUUAUAUUUUCAUUAAGUAUAACAUAAGCUAGUGCAAAUAUUUUUAAAUUGAAGAUCAAAUUUAUUCAUUGUAUUCAUAGAGGGUCAAGGAGUGUAGCUGUAAAAAAUCAUCAAAAUCGGAGUUAAAAUAACCGUUAAAUCAUGAUUUUUUGUUUACAACCGUCGAAAAGUUUUGUUCCAUUACUUGAUCUUUGAAUUUUUGUUUUUUGCGAUUUUUGACGUAUACGAUCUCGAAGUAUAUACACCAGUUUGACGGUUGGAUCGUUGAAUGGUGUGUAUAUAUAUAUACACACACUAAAUAGCUUUAAAUUUAUUUAUUUUGUACAUAUAACACUUAAGAAAUUGAAUGGUAUAUAUAUUUUUUGGUAGCUUUAAAUUUAUUAUUGUAGUUCGGAUCGGGUUUUUAUUAAAAAAAUAUAUGAUUGUGGGUUUUAUGUAAAAAAAUUGAAUUUGAAGGGAGUAAAGUUACAUUUUCGGUAAACUUUAUAAUAAUUUAAAAAGAAAAAUAUAACUUGUGUGACGCCACAAUGGGGUCGUUUGCGCAAAAACCAAUAGCGCGACGUCAUAAUGUAAACAUGCGUCACGCUAACCAAUUUAUUUAUUUUAUUUUAUUUCAUAUUAUAAAUUUUAAGAUAUAGUUGUUUUCAUAAGUUUUCAUUAUUUUUUUAAAACUUUCCUCAACAAAUAUCAAUAUUUCGUCGCCU
This 1562-nucleotide long non-coding RNA is filed under the name Malus domestica (apple). Its description in RNAcentral is "long non-coding RNA (MDOM_LNC010749)". Lineage: Eukaryota; Viridiplantae; Streptophyta; Magnoliopsida; Rosales; Rosaceae. The record is from RNAcentral.